CCAGCUCGAGGAGUUCCUGAACCAGAGCUCACCCUUCUACUUCUGGAUGAAUGGUGACCGCAUCGACUCCCUGCUGGAGAACGACCGGCAGCAGACGCACAUGCUGGAUGUCAUGCAGGACCACUUCAGCCGCGCGUCCAGCAUCAUGGACGAGCUCUUCCAGGACAGGUUCUUCGCCCAGGAGCCCCAGGACACCUACCACUACCUGCCCUUCAGCCUGCCCCACCGGAGGCCUCACUUCUUCUUUCCCAAGUCCCGCAUCAUCCGCAGCUUGAUGCCCUUCUCUCCGUAUGAGCCCCUGAACUUCCACGCCAUGUUCCAGCCCUUCCUUGAGAUGAUACACGAGGCUCAGCAGGCCAUGGACGUCCACUUCCACAGCCCGGCCUUCCAGCUCCCGCCCACAGAAUUCAUACGAGAAGGCGACGAUGACCGGACUGUGUGCCGGGAGAUCCGCCACAACUCCACGGGCUGCCUGCGGAUGAAGGACCAGUGUGACAAGUGCCGGGAGAUCUUGUCUGUGGGUGAGUCGGGGUCCAGACCACAAGCUGCCCCUUCUGAUCCCUUGUGUCCUGGGGUCACUGGGGCCUCACUGGU
RNAcentral lists this small RNA (594 nucleotides) under Pongo abelii (Sumatran orangutan). Its description in RNAcentral is "retained intron". The record is from RNAcentral. Lineage: Eukaryota; Metazoa; Chordata; Mammalia; Primates; Hominidae.